RNAcentral lists this ribosomal RNA (1356 nucleotides) under uncultured marine eukaryote. RNAcentral describes it as "SSU rRNA". It matches the Rfam family "Eukaryotic small subunit ribosomal RNA", at positions 411 to 1779 of the family's 1831-position model. The record is from RNAcentral.
CACUUCUAAGGAAGGCAGCAGGCGCGCAAAUUACCCAAUCCUGACUCAGGGAGGUAGUGACAAGAAAUAACAAUAAACCGGCUUAUGCCGGUUUAAUUGGAAUGAGUACAAUUUAAACAUCUUAACGAGGAACAAUUGGAGGGCAAGUCUGGUGCCAGCAGCCGCGGUAAUUCCAGCUCCAAUAGCGUAUACUAAAGUUGUUGCAGUUAAAAAGCUCGUAGUUGGAUUUCUGUGGGGACGGAGCGGCCGGCCGCACAUCGCGGUUCGAGCUAGCGCUUUCCCUACAUCCUGCCGCGAACCGUGCUACCAUUAAUUUGGUGGCGCCGGGGAUCGGCUCGAUUACUUUGAGAAAAAUAGAGUGUUCAAAGCAGGCCACAUGCCUUGAAUAAGUUAGCAUGGAAUAAUAACUAAGGACUUCGGUUCUAUUUUGUUGGUGUUCGGGACUGAAGUAAUGAUUGAUAGGGACAGUUGGGGCGGUCUGUAUUCCAAAGCGAGAGGUGAAAUUCUUAGACCUUCGGAAGACAAACAGCUGCGAAAGCGUUCCGCAAGGAUGUCCCCUUUGAUCAAGAACGAAAGUUGGGGGAUCGAAGACGAUCAGAUACCGUCGUAGUCUCAACUAUAAACUAUACCAGCUAGGGAUCGGCCAACGUUAUUUUAUACCGACUUGGUCGGCACCUUAUGAGAAAUCAAAGCAUCUGGGUUCCGGGGGGAGUAUGGUCGCAAGGCUGAAACUUAAAGGAAUUGACGGAAGGGCACCACCAGCCGUGGAGCCUGUGGCUUAAUUUGACUCAACACGGGAAAACUUACCAGGUCCAGACAUAGUAAGGAUUGACAGAUUGAUAGCUCUUUCUUGAUUCUGUGGGUGGUGGUGCAUGGCCGUUCUUAGUUGGUGGAGUGAUUUGUCUGGUUAAUUCCGUUAACGAACGAGACCCCAGCCUGCUAAAUAGCGCGCGUGAGCUUUGCUCGCGGCGAGCUUCUUAGAGGGACUCUGAUGCGCGAUAGCACAUGGAAGUUUGGGGCAAUAACAGGUCUGUGAUGCCCUUAGAUGUUCUGGGCCGCACACGGGCUACACUGGCGCCUGCAACGAGCAUAUCAGCUGGCCCGAGAGGGUCUUGGCUAAUCUUUUGAACCGGCGCCGUGCUUGGGAUUGACCUUUGCAAUUGUUGGUCAUGCAACGAGGAAUGCCUUGUAAACGCGAGUCAUCAGCUCGCAUUGAAUACGUCCCUGCCCUUUGUACACACCGCCCGUCGCUCCUACCGAUGAAUGUUCCGAUGAAAUUUUCGGAGAGCACCUGUGAACUUGGCUCUGCCUUGCGAACGGGAGGCUCAAAGUCACUUAAAUCUGAACAUUUCGAGG